Molecule: small nucleolar RNA, 87 nt
Filed under: Macrophomina phaseolina MS6
Lineage: Eukaryota; Fungi; Ascomycota; Dothideomycetes; Botryosphaeriales; Botryosphaeriaceae
Source: RNAcentral
CUCUUGUGAUGAUCGGUUUAAAUUAUCAGUUCUGCUUCUGAACCGUCAUGUGGAAAACCUUUACCAAGCUUACCAUAUAUCUGAUAA